GACGAACGCUGGCGGCGUGCUUAACACAUGCAAGUCGAACGGUGAAGCGCCUUCCUUUUUGGUGGGUGUGGAUGAGUGGCGAACGGGUGAGUAACACGUGAGUAACCUGCCCCCUUCUUCUGGAUAACCGCAUGAAAGUGUGGCUAAUACGGGAUAUUCUGGGUCUGUCGCAUGAUGGGUCUGGGAAAGAUAUUGUUUCGGUGGGGGAUGGGCUCGCGGCCUAUCAGCUUGUUGGUGGGGUGAUGGCCUACCAAGGCGGUGACGGGUAGCCGGCCUGAGAGGGUGGACGGUCACACUGGGACUGAGACACGGCCCAGACUCCGACGGGAGGCAGCAGUGGGGAAUAGUGCACAAUGGGCGCAAGCCUGAUGCAGCGACGCCGCGUGAGGGAUGGAGGCCUUCGGGUUGUGAACCUCUUUCGCCAGUGAAGCAGGCCUGCCUCGUUUGUGGGUGGGUUGACGGUAGCUGGAGAAGAAGCGCCGGCUAACUACGUG
RNAcentral lists this ribosomal RNA (494 nucleotides) under uncultured bacterium. Its description in RNAcentral is "partial 16S ribosomal RNA". It matches the Rfam family "Bacterial small subunit ribosomal RNA", at positions 28 to 507 of the family's 1533-position model. The record is from RNAcentral.